Lates calcarifer (barramundi perch) is the source of this 3362-nucleotide long non-coding RNA. RefSeq lists it as uncharacterized. Lineage: Eukaryota; Metazoa; Chordata; Actinopteri; Centropomidae. The record is from RefSeq and is a predicted model, not a curated record. The transcript is spliced from 2 exons.
UGCUGUGCUUCGUGUUAAACAUGUCAUGAGACUGUGGACAACGCUGAAAAUAUUACUUUACUAACUACUGGCCGAACAGGCGCUUUUACAAAGAAAAGGUAAAGGCCAGCAGCUUUUACUUUUCAAUGCACUUGUCGUCAACUUGAGUGGCUUAUAUUCAGCUGGUUCACCUCGACGCCGGUGGAUGUAGACGUGCACUUUUCCUGUCGCCGUACACUGUGUAACAUGAAAAUAUCAGCUGACCCCUUGUGAAAUUUCCUAACUGAUCAAAACCAAACUGUAAAGACUUUGGUCAAGGGGAGACAUAUGGUAAGAUUACAUGAAUUCAAAAUAACCUACAAUUCCUUCAAAUUAAUUUGAAGCCAGUUUAAUUUUUUGAGCCAGCUUUGACAUCUGCAGAUAUGAGUUUCUGAAGAGGGGCCUGCUGAGGUUAGAUGUGCUGAAUAAUAUCCAUUUUCAUAUCAGAAAAAACACUGCAUUAAACAUUGUCUUAGCUCACUGAGCUGAGGUCAACAGGUAAUAUAACCAACCUGUGAGGUGGCUCACCCCCGUAAGAUAAACACAUAAAUGAUCCCUGAUAGAACCGAUAAUUAAAGGCACAUCAGUGACAGGGAAUGCUAUUAAAACUAAACUAUAAACUGGUGACAUUAACUGCAAAAGAAGAUUUUUAUUGAUACAUUUCAGGUAGAAUUUAGUUUUCAAUAAGGGAAACUGUGUAAGAAACCUGAAUUUGUUGCAACAAAUUUAAAAUAAAAGCUUUUAUGCUAAUUAUUUUCUGUGAUAAUAUUUUUCAGAGCUCAUCAUCUGUGACAGCUCAUGGCUCUCUUGACUGUAACCUCCCUGUGGCAGCUUCUCACAGACUCAAUCAACUCCUCUUCCCCUCCCCCCUCAGACACACACAGACACACACACACAGAGACCCCCUUCCAAAAACCCAUCAAAGAGUAAUACAAUGGCUCCAUCUGUAGGAUAAAGUAGAGAGUCGCAACAGGAAGUUACCCCAAAAUCUGAGGUUUCAAACAGGAAGUUGGGUUUCUGAACUUUGACGGGCCAGAACAGGCACACGCUUCGACCAAAACUCACAAUUUUCGGAGGACUUCUUCCAAAAAUUGUCAAGGAGGGGCUGACAACAUUUGAAGUGAAUCUGGUCACCCGUCUAGAAACUGGACAUCACACUAUAAAAUAUGUCAUUUCCUGCUAUAAAUAGGUGGUGCUACAACAAUUGUAUGAAUAUUGACAUAUGGAUGUGUGCAGAUAGGUACCAUUAACAAUCCUGUAAAGUUUGAUGCAGUUUGGACAAAGUAUGGCCGAAAUAUAGCAAAAAUAAAGCAACUUCCUGUUUCGUGGCGAGUAAUCGAACUUUGAGGGGCCAUAACUUCCACGCCCUUCAACAAAAACUCAAAAUCUGCCGCAAUUUAACAUCGUCUAUGUCUUAAGAACAUACUAUUAAGUUUUGAAGUCAAUCGGAUAAUGCGUCUAGGACUAGUUCGCGUUCAAGCGACCCCUGGAAAUGGCCAAAAACACACAAUUUUUUCACCUUCCGGUCAAAAUAAAAAUACUUUCUGUUGGGUUUAGAAUAUGGCUCCAAGAGACUUUUUGGUGCGUCAUGGGAUGUUACAUAUGUGUGCAGAUUUUCAGAUUUUUAGGCGCAACGGGCUUGAGGGGCUGUUCCGUUUAAAAAUGUAGGUGGCGCUACCGAGGCCAUUUUACCACGCCCAUGCUCAAGACCCCUAAAUUAUUAAAUUUUUCGCCGUGCCUGACGCGUCUGCAAAUUUUGGUAAGUUUUCACGCAUGUUAAGGCCCUCAAAAAGCCGAUCUAAGAGGCGGAAAAAGAAGAAAAAAAAUAAUAAUAAUAAUAAUUAAAGCUGCGAGCAGCGUUGAACGGGCCCUCGCACCCGGCGCCCGUCGGGGGAGCGGCGACCGCGGGACCCCGGCAACCGCGGGGUCAACGCAGGUCGCAGGGCACACGCUGGCGUAACAGUUCACACUUCCGAGAUGUAAAAAUUUUAAAUAAAAGCUUUUACGCUAAUUAUUUUCUGUGAUAAUAUUUUUCAGAGCUCAUCAUCUGUGACAGCUCUUGGCUCUCCUGACUGUAACCUCUCUGUGGCAGCUUCUCACAGACUCAAUCAACUCCUCUUCCCCUCCCCCCUCAAACACAAACACAAACACAAACACACACACACACACACAGAUACCCCCUCCCAAAAGGAGAUAAAACUCAGUUUUAACUUGAGUUUACAAGCUUUGAGCUUUGAGCAAAAGCAUUUUUUUAAGUUCUGUUAUUGGGUGCAUAUAUAAAUCAUUUAUGCUUAAACAAGGCUUAUAAUGAAGUUAUUUGAACAGUGAAUAUCUCAUCUGCCUAAAGUCAGGGCGAAGCCACUAACCAGCUGUAGGGAUGGGUAUCAUUAGGAUUUUAUCUUUAUCCAUACAGACCCCUAUCAGUCCAGCUCAGACUGUUACUGGUUUAAGAGAGUGAAGUUUAUAGCAAUUUGCAAAAUUUGGAGAUUAGUGACAAACUAACCAGUUAGACUACAUACAGACAAGCUUUCAUUUUAGCUGUUAGUAACAGUUUGCCAUGAGCUUAACCAGCGUGCUGUGCUUCGUGUUAAACAUGUCAUGAGACUGUGGACAACGCUGAAAAUAUUACUUUACUAACUACUGGCCGAACAGGCGCUUUUACAAAGAAAAGGUAAAGGCCAGCAGCUUUUACUUUUCAAUGCACUUGUCGUCAACUUGAGUGGCUUAUAUUCAGCUGGUUCACCUCGACGCCGGUGGAUGUAGACGUGCACUUUUCCUGUCGCCGUACACUGUGUAACAUGAAAAUAUCAGCUGACCCCUUGUGAAAUUUCCUAACUGAUCAAAACCAAACUGUAAAGACUUUGGUCAAGGGGAGACAUAUGGUAAGAUUACAUGAAUUCAAAAUAACCUACAAUUCCUUCAAAUUAAUUUGAAGCCAGUUUAAUUUUUUGAGCCAGCUUUGACAUCUGCAGAUAUGAGUUUCUGAAGAGGGGCCUGCUGAGGUUAGAUGUGCUGAAUAAUAUCCAUUUUCAUAUCAGAAAAAACACUGCAUUAAACAUUGUCUUAGCUCACUGAGCUGAGGUCAACAGGUAAUAUAACCAACCUGUGAGGUGGCUCACCCCCGUAAGAUAAACACAUAAAUGAUCCCUGAUAGAACCGAUAAUUAAAGGCACAUCAGUGACAGGGAAUGCUAUUAAAACUAAACUAUAAACUGGUGACAUUAACUGCAAAAGAAGAUUUUUAUUGAUACAUUUCAGGUAGAAUUUAGUUUUCAAUAAGGAAAAUGCUGUAAGAAACCUGAAUUUGUUGCAACAAAUUUAAAAUAAAAGCUUUUAUGCUAAUUA